GUGAACGCUGGCGGUAGGCCUAACCCAUGCCAGUCGAACGGCAGCACAGUAAGAGCUUGCUCUUACGGGUGGCGAGUGGCGGACGGGUGAGGAAUACAUCGGAAUCUACUUUUUCGUGGGGGAUAACGUAGGGAAACUUACGCUAAUACCGCAUACGACCUACGGGUGAAAGCAGGGGAUCUUCGUACCUUGCGCGAUUGAAUGAGCCGAUGUCGGAUUAGCUAGUUGGCGGGGUAAAGGCCCACCAAGGCGACGAUCCGUAGCUGGUCUGAGAGGAUGAUCAGCCACACUGGAACUGAGACACGGUCCAGACUCCUACGGGAGGCAGCAGUGGGGAAUAUUGGACAGUGGGCGCAAGCCUGAUCCAGCCAUACCGCGUGGGUGAAGAAGGCCUUCGGGUUGUAAAGCCCUUUUGUUGGGAAAGAAAAGCAGCAGGUUAAUACCCCGCUGUUCUGACGGUACCCAAAGAAUAAGCACCGGCUAACUUCGUG
This 491-nucleotide ribosomal RNA is filed under the name uncultured bacterium. RNAcentral describes it as "partial 16S ribosomal RNA". It matches the Rfam family "Bacterial small subunit ribosomal RNA", at positions 29 to 507 of the family's 1533-position model. The record is from RNAcentral.